GGAGAGAUGGCUCAGAGGUUAAGAGCACUGGCUGCUCUUCCAGAGGUCCUGAGUUCAAUUCCCAGCCACUACA
Molecule: transfer RNA, 73 nt
Filed under: Cricetulus griseus (Chinese hamster)
Lineage: Eukaryota; Metazoa; Chordata; Mammalia; Rodentia; Cricetidae
Rfam family: tRNA
About the family: Transfer RNA (tRNA) molecules are approximately 80 nucleotides in length. Their secondary structure includes four short double-helical elements and three loops (D, anti-codon, and T loops).
Source: Rfam by way of RNAcentral